UCCAUCCCGCUCUUUCCUCGUUCUUUCACACUCUCCUGAAUGCUCCCCUCGGGAUCUUUGGCCGUGGCGCUCGUCAGGGACACAAUGCAGUGGGGCGAGCCGUUCCUCUCGGCCAGCUUGGGUAUUACGGAUGGUUCUGUAUGCCGUUCGGCCUGAGCGGCGACCCACACGAAUCGGCUGGGCUCCCUGCGGGGGAUACGGAUCCCGGUGUUUGUCUGCUGUAACAGCAACUCCAUGUGGAACCUGUCAGUGUUCCAGUGGGGCUGCUGUUACCAGCGGACAGACACCCAUAACUCACCCAUAAGGAGAUGUUCACCCGCAUCACCUCCGUUACUACGGGAUCUCAGGCAUGCCUCUUAUGCUGCUUAACAAAUAAUGAAUUUAUCAUUUAUAGAAGAAUUAUCUAAUGUAAUCUGUGCUCAAACGGAUCUAUCAAAUUCCUUUUGAACUUUUGUAGCUAGUCAACAGUAUAAUUUGGUUUCAGUUUUAGAUAACACAAAGACUCAACGGCAUGGGUUGUGUCUGUGAAGAGAGGGAGGAGCCAAAGUCCGUUAAAUGUCUCAAAUUGUAAAGGUUAACUUUAUUCUUGUUACAUUUAUGUGUAGCACUAUUACAUAAAACUAUAUAUAACAUUGUUUUGCAUGAUGUGAUACGGAGCAUGUGGUUCUAAUUUUGCAUGAAGGAAUAUGUUUCUGGUUUUGCGGUAGCUGGGGCGCAGGAUGAUGACCUAUAAAUUGACAGCCAGUGUUUGAACCUGGCUGUCAGUUCUGUAGGCCAAUGCCCUGUUUGCCCUGUCAAACACAGCCAUAUCUGGGCAAAAAGAGUGGGAACGGAGAGCUUUACGGGAGACAUGGCUGUUAAACAGGAACCCACCAAGCACGACUCACCUUGUCUUAGAAGUAUGCUAAUGACACCAGCUAAUAAAAAAUUAUAUGUUUCUUAA
Long non-coding RNA from Brienomyrus brachyistius, 943 nucleotides. RefSeq lists it as uncharacterized. Lineage: Eukaryota; Metazoa; Chordata; Actinopteri; Osteoglossiformes; Mormyridae. The record is from RefSeq and is a predicted model, not a curated record. The transcript has 2 exons.